AGGACGAACGCUGGCGGCGCGCUUAACACAUGCAAGUCGAACGGUGAACCGGGCUUCGGCCCGGGGAUCAGUGGCGAACGGGUGCGUAACACGUGGGCAACCUGCCCCUCACUCUGGGAUAACCCCGGGAAACCGGAGCUAAUACCGGAUACUCCGAACGGUCCGCAUGGUCCGAUCGGGAAAGGUCCGCCGGUGAGGGAUGGGCCCGCGGCCUAUCAGCUUGUUGGUGAGGUAACGGCUCACCAAGGCGACGACGGGUAGCUGGUCUGAGAGGACGACCAGCCACACUGGGACUGAGAUACGGCCCAGACUCCUACGGGAGGCAGCAGUGGGGAAUCUUGCGCAAUGGGCGAAAGCCUGACGCAGCGACGCCGCGUGGGGGAUGAAGGCCCUCGGGUUGUAAACCCCUUUCGGCAGGGACGAAGCGGUUUCGUGACGGUACCUGCAGAAGAAGCCUCGGCUAACUACGUGCCAGCAGCCGCGGUAAGACGUAGGAGGCGAGCGUUGUCCGGAUUCAUUGGGCGUAAAGAGCACGCAGGCGGUUUGGCAAGUCGGAUGUGAAAACCCGGAGCUCAACUCCGGGCCUGCAUCCGAAACUGCCCGACUAGAGGUAGGUAGGGGAGAUCGGAAUUCCUGGUGUAGCGGUGAAAUGCGCAGAUAUCAGGAGGAGCACCGGUGGCGAAGGCGGAUCUCUGGGCCUUACCUGACGCUCAGGUGCGAAAGCUAGGGGAGCGAACAGGAUUAGAUACCCUGGUAGUCCUAGCCGUAAACGUUGGGUGCUAGGUGUGGGCGGACAUCAACCCCGUCCGUGCCGAAGCUAACGCAUUAAGCACCCCGCCUGGGGAGUACGGCCGCCAGGCUAAAACUC
RNAcentral lists this ribosomal RNA (868 nucleotides) under uncultured bacterium. RNAcentral describes it as "bacterial SSU rRNA". It matches the Rfam family "Bacterial small subunit ribosomal RNA", at positions 26 to 902 of the family's 1533-position model. The record is from RNAcentral.